Molecule: ribosomal RNA, 493 nt
Filed under: uncultured bacterium
Lineage: Bacteria
Description: bacterial SSU rRNA
Rfam family: Bacterial small subunit ribosomal RNA
Source: RNAcentral
GACGAACGCUGGCGGCGUGCUUAACACAUGCAAGUCGAGCGGUAAGGCUCCUUCGGGAGUACACGAGCGGCGAACGGGUGAGUAACACGUGAGUAAUCUGCCCUUCACUUCGGGAUAACCACCGGAAACGGUGGCUAAUACCGGAUACGACCAGUCUUCGCAUGAGGUGCUGGUGGAAAGUCUUUUCGGUGAAGGAUGUGCUCGCGGCCUAUCAGCUUGUUGGUGGGGUAACGGCCCACCAAGGCUUCGACGGGUAGCCGGCCUGAGAGGGUGACCGGCCACACUGGGACUGAGACACGGCCCAGACUCCUACGGGAGGCAGCAGUGGGGAAUAUUGGACAAUGGGCGAAAGCCUGAUCCAGCAACGCCGCGUGAGGGAUGACGGCCUUCGGGUUGUAAACCUCUUUCAGUAUCGACGAAGCGCCCUGUCGGGUGGUGACGGUAGAUACAGAAGAAGGACCGGCCAACUACGUGCCAGCAGCCGCCGUAAAAC